GGGGCGUUAGCUCAGUUGGCAGAGCACCGGACUUUUAAUCCGUAGGUCCCGGGUUCGAAUCCCGGACGCCCUA
Molecule: transfer RNA, 73 nt
Filed under: bacterium
Lineage: Bacteria
Also listed under: 1 other name
Description: tRNA-Lys
Rfam family: tRNA
About the family: Transfer RNA (tRNA) molecules are approximately 80 nucleotides in length. Their secondary structure includes four short double-helical elements and three loops (D, anti-codon, and T loops).
Source: RNAcentral